RNAcentral lists this ribosomal RNA (459 nucleotides) under uncultured bacterium. RNAcentral describes it as "partial 16S ribosomal RNA". It matches the Rfam family "Bacterial small subunit ribosomal RNA", at positions 338 to 795 of the family's 1533-position model. The record is from RNAcentral.
CCUACGGGAGGCAGCAGUGAGGAAUAUUGGUCAAUGGACGAGAGUCUGAACCAGCCAAGUAGCGUGAAGGAUGACUGCCCUAUGGGUUGUAAACUUCUUUUAUAAAGGAAUAAAACGAGGCACGUGUGCCUUUUGCAUGUACUUUAUGAAUAAGGAUCGGCUAACUCCGUGCCAGCAGCCGCGGUAAUACGGGGGAUCCGAGCGGUAUCCGGAUUUUUUGGGUUUAAAGGGAGAGUAGAUGGGUUGUUAAGUCAGUUGUGAAAGUUUGGGGAUCAACCGUAAAAUUGAAAUUGAUACUGGCAGUCUUGAGUACAGUUGAGGUAGGCGGAAUUCGUGGGGUAGCGGUGAAAUGCUUAGAUAUCACGAAGAACCCCGAUUGCGAAGGCAGCUUACUAAACUGUUACUGACAUUGAUGCUCGAAAGUGUGGGUAUCAAACAGGAUUAGAUACCCCAGUAGUC